This is a non-coding RNA of Potamilus streckersoni, 73 nucleotides long. The record is from the annotation of a GenBank genome assembly. NCBI's taxonomy places the organism in Eukaryota, Metazoa, Mollusca, Bivalvia, Unionida, Unionidae.
GCUCCGGUGGCCUAGUGUUUAGAGCGUCCGCCUAGGAUGCGAGAGGUCGUGGGUUCGAAUCCCGGCCGAAUCA